This is a long non-coding RNA of Oreochromis aureus, 1816 nucleotides long. The record is from Ensembl. Lineage: Eukaryota; Metazoa; Chordata; Actinopteri; Cichliformes; Cichlidae.
GUUAGGUAAGGCUGACUCUUUGGUUGUAUAUCUGUUAUAGAUGGUCUACAGUAUAAUUGCUAUGAUUAUUACAUAUACAGUUUAAUCUUUUUUUGUGGCAUUAAAGUUGUUAAAGGUGUUGUAUAGAGAUAAGGACACAAAUAACACAUGACACUCAGUACUGUUGCUAUGGGAGAGUUUCUCAGAUAUUUGAGCAUCAACCGGACCUCGACACUGAUAUGUUGCAUCUGUAUUUUCCUGGAAGCAGGUGGGAACAGCAUCUCCUUGGCAGCUGGGAGCAGAGUGACCCUGCACUGUAGCAAUAACUCAAUCAGCGACCUCCUUCAACUGAGAUGGGGAAGGAAUGGGACUCAUCUGUUUAGUUUCAAGGCACAGAAAACCUCAAACAACAGCUCUGUGACCUUAAGCAGUAAUCGGAACAUGUCAGACAGCAGAAUAAUAAGGUCUCAUGCAGCUGCCAUCCUGAAUCUAAGCAUGUCAACCUUAGAAAGCCAACUGUAUGCACUAAUCAUAGAGGGAGCCCAGAAAUAUCACGAAGGAAACUACACUUGUGAAAUGACCACAGACUCAGGAGUCUUCGAACAGAAAUGGGAGCUCAUAAUUACAGAGGAAGCUGAAUCAUGUAAAAUCCAUGAUGCCACAGCAGUUAUUGUACGUUGUGUGUGUUUCCUGGUUAUUACAAUUACUGCUUUGGCCAUUAUGAGAAAAGUCUGCAAAUAACGAUCAAAAAACAUCAUCAGAUCUCUCAGUGCAAGAUUGUCUGUUGAGAAUUUAUGACUUUAAUACAAUUAAUAUUAGACAAUAGGAUAUACAGUUCAGUCCACAACUUUGCCUUGUACUCCAUCCACAGUGGAUUUUUAAAUUAAAUAUUUGGUAUGUGAUUGAAGUGCAGACUUUCAGCUUUAAUAAUAAGAAGUUCAUCAAAAGUAUUACAACUGUUUAUCUAUUUUUAUAUAUACAUAGGCCUCCAUUUUUUAUUUUUACCAACUUUUGCAUUUUUACUAAGUCCUUGGGGGACAAUGAAUAGUCAAAGCCAUGGACAUCCCCAAAUGUCGCAUUGCCUCCAUUGAGAUGCUCUGCUAGGCCUUUGUUGCAGCGUUCAGUUGCAGUUGUUUGUGGGUCUUUCUGCUUUCAAUUUUGUCUUUGGUAACUAAAAGGUGCUCUGCUGGACCCAGAUGUGGUGACUGGCUUGGUAAGUAUCACACAUAACAGAAUGCCUGAUGUUGGCCAAUGCCCAUUUUCUUUGUCUAGAGAAACUCGUGAUUUGUUUUGACAGUAUGGGUGGAGUAAAUGCCCUGCAUCUAGCUCAGUGGGAGUAGAGAGUAACACCCUCUACAGAUCUGGAAUCUGUUUCAUAUGUUAUGAAACAAUAAGGGUACAGUCCUCAGCGGGCCAUGAAACCACUGACUGUAAUUCCUAAACAACUAAUGCAAUACUUUUGUAAAACACCUUGAUCAAAAGCUGAAAAACUGCACUUUAAUCGCAUCUUAAUCAUUUGAUUUAAAAUCUGGUGUGGUUGUGUACAGAGGCAAAAUUACAAAAAACAAAAAUGUGUCCAAAACCGUAUGGUUCUCCCUGCAGGCUAGUAUGAAAUCAAUCUGAACUACUAUAUCGUCCACUUUAGGAAAGGAUAAUGAAAUUUACUGAGCCUGAAGACACUGAUUUUUCUUCUGUAGGAGGUGCAGAGAAGAUCUUUAUGAAAACUCCUGGGAAAUUGAAACUUGGUCAGAUUCAGUUCGACUCUUACAAAUACAGGGCUGAAUGACCUAAAUUUUCAUGGUUCUGGGUCAUUUUGACCCAGUGUUUUUAAAUUCUU